AGUUACUAAUAUAAUUAAAAUAUUUAUAUUUAAACCUUUAACUUAUUAAAAUAUUAAUAUAUUUUUUUUAACAUUUAAAAUAGCUGGGUCCGAGUCUAGCCGGGUCUGGCUAAUCUAGACCCGGCCCUGGACCACUAACUGGCCGGGUCAGGACCCGGACCAUCCGGGUCUAAACCCUUUACUGGGUCCGAAAUUGGUCCCAGACAACCUUAGUUGUUGUUAUCAUCUCUAAUUUAUCAUACAACAGAUUAUAUUUUAAACUCUGGAUUAUUAGUUACACGCUCCUUUAGUUUAUCCCGAUAGGGUAUUGGAUCCUUAGAUCUGUAUCAAGAAAUCGAUGAAACCUGGUCGGAUCCGAUGUCUCUGAUUUAGGAUCGGAUUCGAUCUAGAUGAGAAGAGACUCGAACUAUAGUUCCCUAUGGAGGGAGGAUCGGAUGAGGCAGAGAGCGUCUGGAUGAAUCCAGAGGUCUGGGUGCGCGAGCAGUGAGGUAAACGGAUGGAUUGUCACACUGGAGAUGUUCUGGAGGCGGAGAUCGCGGAUGGUCAGAGCCGUCGAGUGGGUGGAGAGGAUUUAGAUGGGAAUUUUUAUAUUUUAUUUCAUUGCCUCAAAAAUUACAAACCUUGCCCUUAUAGGGAAAUUAUAAGGGAUAUUGAAUGUAAAUUACCAAAUACUAGAGUCUUGCAAUUUAAUCAAAACUAAUUAUAAACACAUGCAAUUUCACCUAUCAUAAUCGGUUACCCAAAUAGAGGGUUUCCUGAUCCGACCCGUGCGAGUCCGGAUAACCUCCUCCUGGACGAGCUCUAAUUCCUCGUCGGGAUUUACCUGCUCUGAAAACGAUGACGCCGGCGUCCCUCCGAUCUCCGGUUGGUCCAUCAGUUCUGCGGAAUUGUCUAAGUUUAUGGCGAUGGUUUCGGUGAUGGUUACGGCUGCAUCCGUAACAUGGCUACCUCCCCAAAGAUUCACCUUGUCCUCAAGGUGGAUGGACAGGAAUGCUCUUUUCAGUUCUAUUUCAUCUUCCCAGGAAGAGUCUUCUAAGAGAGAGUUGCUCCAAUUGACCUAAUUUGUGGAUUGUGAUGGGUCUGGUUUGUAGGAAAUCAGUGUUAGGUGGUUUAUUCCUCACUUCAAAACAGAAACACACAUCUAAACUCAUCCUUUCCUUUAAUCUUCUGGCAUUAAGCACAAUUUUUCAAUCGUUGUGUAUCCUGUCUCAUACUACAGUCCAGUUUACUUACUCUUCAUGAAUUUCUGCACAUCUUUCUUUUUUGAUAGAAUUCUGGCCAUAAAGAAUUUAGGAACAUGAGUUGACUCGUUCCUAUAUCAUUUGUAAAAAACCAUGCCUAGUUUCCCACCUUAUCUAAUUUUAAUGAAAAUUUAAAAUUUGACUUAAAAAAAAAAAUUCUUUCCCGUUAUGAAAAUCACACAAUCUCUAAUAUCAACAGUGAUAGAUCCAAACAUGUUUCCUUAUGAAAUUUUAUUUCAAUUUUCUGGUACACGGAUAAAAUAUAUGGGCUAUCUCAGUCAGCCACCCAUUC
Molecule: long non-coding RNA, 1533 nt
Filed under: Zostera marina
Lineage: Eukaryota; Viridiplantae; Streptophyta; Magnoliopsida; Alismatales; Zosteraceae
Description: long non-coding RNA (ZMAR_LNC006092)
Source: RNAcentral